RNAcentral lists this ribosomal RNA (497 nucleotides) under uncultured bacterium. Its description in RNAcentral is "partial 16S ribosomal RNA". It matches the Rfam family "Bacterial small subunit ribosomal RNA", at positions 28 to 507 of the family's 1533-position model. The record is from RNAcentral.
GAUGAACGCUGGCGGCGUGCCUAAUACAUGCAAGUCGAACGAACAGACGAGGCGCUUGCUCCUCUCACGUUAGCGGCGGACGGGUGAGUAACACGUGUAUACCCUCCCUAUCAUACUGGGAUAACUUCGGGAAACCGGCGCUAAUACCGGAUAAUCUCUUGAACCGCAUGGUUCAAUGGUAAAAUACGGUUUUGCGGGCUCUUCUAGAUGCAUCCGCGCCGCAUUAGCUAGUUGGUGAGGUCACGGCUUACCAAGGCAACGAUGCGUAGGCGACCUGCGGGGCGGAUCGGCCGCACGGGAACGGGGACACGCUCCAUGGGCCUACGAGACGGAGCAGACGGCAAUCGGCCGCAAUGGGCGAAAGCCUGACGGAAUGGGGCCGCGUGAGUUAUGAAGGUCUUGGGAUCGUAAAGCUCUGUUAUGAGGGAAGAACAAAUUUGUAAGUAAACAUGCACGUAGUGACGGUACCUAAUCAGAAAGCCCCGGCUAACUACGUG